UACUCGAGUGGCGAACGGGUGAGUAACACGUGGGUGAUCUGCCCUGCACUCUGGGAUAAGCCUGGGAAACUGGGUCUAAUACCGGAUAGGACCGCACUUUAGUGUGUGUGGUGGAAAGUUUUUCGGUGUAGGAUGAGCCCGCGGCCUAUCAGCUUGUUGGUGGGGUAAUGGCCUACCAAGGCGGCGACGGGUAGCCGGACUGAGAGGUUGGUCGGCCACAUUGGGACUGAGAUACGGCCCAG
Molecule: ribosomal RNA, 242 nt
Filed under: uncultured bacterium
Lineage: Bacteria
Also listed under: 1 other name
Description: partial 16S ribosomal RNA
Rfam family: Bacterial small subunit ribosomal RNA
Source: RNAcentral